Molecule: long non-coding RNA, 1892 nt
Organism: Rhodamnia argentea
Lineage: Eukaryota; Viridiplantae; Streptophyta; Magnoliopsida; Myrtales; Myrtaceae
Exons: 2
Source: RefSeq, a predicted model, not a curated record
CUCUCUCUCUCUCUCUCUCUCUCUCUCUCUCUCUGGCCUGUUUCUUGAUCUUCCACUUUGUUGUUUUUAGGCUCCUUUCAAUCUUUUCCACUGUGCAAUUUUCCACUUGUGUGUUCCUGAUCUCUCCCUUUUCCUUAGUGGUUGACAUGGGAUUUCAACACAGAAAACACACAGUAGCUCUCUCUCUCUCUCAAGACAAGGGUUUCGAACCUUUUUGCCAAUGCCCAUUGAUUUGCUUUUGUUUCUUCGCUUUACCUUUUCCUUUACCUCCAUGGGAUGCUAAAAGUUGGGUGACUAUAGAUGCUAGGGUUAGGGUUUUUCAUCUCAUCUGCAUGUGGAUUGGCCCCUAUACGGAGAAGCCCCGAGUCGUUGUUUGCCAUUGCAGCAUCAUGAAGAUUCACACAGAAAACUUUCUUUUUGAAGAGAGCGUCUUUUUUAAAUAAUCAAAUGGUGGGUUUUAGUUUAUGUGGUCCCUAAUUCCACCCAAAAAGCGUCUCUCUUCAAUAUGAUUUUUUUUAUGGGAAUCUUGAUGAUGCUGCAGUGGCAAUGAACGGCUAUUCACUCUCAAAAGCCAGAAGUCCCGAGAUCAAACUUAUGAGGACGAAGAACUCUCCAAAGAAACUAGGUAUUCAAAAGAUUGAUGCUUGCUGUCUUUGUUGGUGGGUUUUGAGGUUCUUGGUUUCUGCGAACCCAACGUGGAACAGAGUUUAAGUUCGAGAAAAGAAGACGACUUUACCUUGGUGUAUACUGGGUUGCUGAUCAUCAUAUGUUUCUGCUUUUUCGGUGAUGUUAAUAUUUGUAAGGAUGGGACCGAGUGAUGCAUCUGAAUUUUUCUUUUUCCGUACAGCAACGCGCCUCCUGAUCUUUCGCUAGCUGUGUCUGUACUUGUGUCCAAGUGUAGAACUUGGAUAACUCGAGAGCAUGAUGUGAUUGAAAGCUGUUUCUGCUUCAUGUGUCUUGUUAUUAUGUCGUCACUGCAGGUAUGUGUUCUUUUGAAGGAGUUCUUUUCUGAGUCUCAUUUGGCCAUUUACUGUCUUUGCUUGGUUCCCAUAAGAUUAGCAAGUUUGCUUGACUGACUCGCUUCUUUGAGACAUAUUUGUCAUUUGGUUCUUAUUAAGGCAUUCUCUGGUUUAAUCUAUGGUUUCUAUGCGGGUUUCCCUAGGCAUGUCUUUUUUUCUCUGGUUCCCCUCAUAUCAGCUUUAUUCAGGUAUUAGCAUCACUAAAUGUCAUCUUUCUGAAGAGUGGAGCCCGAUCCGUCGAGUUAUUUUCCUUGUGUCACCUGACUAGCCUCCCUGCUCGUACUCAUUGAUCACACCUUAACACAGAAGGACAACAUUUGGCCAAGAAGAGGUACAGCAACAGAUUUCGGGGAAGUUUUUUUAUUCUAAACACCUGGAAAAAUGCCCAUCUUCCUUUCCGUACUUGUAUAGGGGAAAGAUGAUUCCUCUAAAUUUAUUGAGAUGAUCAUUAUCCUAAGUAAGGAAUUCAUCUGCUGCUCUGUCUUCCUCGGUAACGUAGGAUUUGCAAGAUGCGCGAGUCAAAUACAAGGAAGGACCGCGUGUUCCCAUCACAGCUAUUCUUCCUUCCCAAGUUUCCUCUUAUUUUUGGAGACCUAAGUAUCUGGGUUUGUAGAGAUAACAUGGAGGAUCGUAUAGCUAGCCUUUGUUUGUGUAAAGUGGAUCUUCUUCAUUCGCAUCUCCUUAAUCAACCCUUGAAGACCCUUUUCGUGACUUUUGUUUUGUGAUUUUCUUUUGAUCUGGCCCCUUAUAUCCAGUGAGGCUAGGCUUGUGAAUGCUGACUAAUCUGUGACUAUGAGCGGGAGCAAAACGAGUAAUCUGUCUUGUCUAAAGAGAACUUGCAUUGUAAUCUAUCAAGAAAGACUUUUGUAGCAA